This 598-nucleotide ribosomal RNA is filed under the name uncultured Glomus. Its description in RNAcentral is "bacterial SSU rRNA". It matches the Rfam family "Eukaryotic small subunit ribosomal RNA", at positions 523 to 1116 of the family's 1831-position model. The record is from RNAcentral. Lineage: Eukaryota; Fungi; Glomeromycota; Glomeromycetes; Glomerales; Glomeraceae.
AAUUCGAUUAUGGAUCCCCAAUACUUUGGAGGGCAAGUCUGGUGCCAGCAGCCGCGGUAAUUCCAGCUCCAAUAGCGUAUAUUAAAGUUGCUGCAGUUAAAAAGCUCGUAGUUGAAUUUCGGGACCAUCAUGUUGGUCGUGCCUAGGUACGUACUGGCAUUGUUGGUUUCUCCCUUCUGACGAACCAUGAUGUCAUUUAUUUGGUGUUGUGGGGAAUCAGGACUGUUACUUUGAAAAAAUUAGAGUGUUUAAAGCAGGCUCACGCUUGAAUACAUUAGCAUGGAAUAAUGAAAUAGGACGUUUGAUUCUAUUUUGUUGGUUUCUAGGAUCGACGUAAUGAUUAAUAGGGAUAGUUGGGGGCAUUAGUAUUCAAUUGUCAGAGGUGAAAUUCUUGGAUUUAUUGAAGACUAACUACUGCGAAAGCAUUUGCCAAGGAUGUUUUCAUUAAUCAAGAACGAGAGUUAGGGGAUCGAAAACGAUCAGACACCGUUGUAGUCUUAACAGUAAACUAUGCCGACUAGGGAUCGGGUGACCUCAAUUAUGAUGUGUUGCUCGGCGCCUUACGGGAAACAGUAUUGGGGAUCCAUAAUCACUAGUG